Molecule: non-coding RNA, 4465 nt
Organism: Plasmodium blacklocki (nom. inval.)
Lineage: Eukaryota; Apicomplexa; Aconoidasida; Haemosporida; Plasmodiidae
Source: the annotation of a GenBank genome assembly
GCAAAUCCGCUGAACUUAAGCAUAUUAUUAAGCGGAAGAAAAGAAAAUAACAAUGAUUCUUUUAGUAACGGCGAGUGAACAAAGAAAAGCUCAACAUGGAAAAUCCGACAGAUGGCUACCCGCGAUUUGUUGGAAUUGUCAAGUUGAAAAACAUUUCAAGAGUUCUUUUUUAUAAUAUGAUAAUGAGAUGAAGUAGAUAGAAAUGUCUCUCCAUAGAGGGUGAAAGGCCCGUAUUCUUAAUCAUAAAACCGAUCUCUUGGAAUGUUUUGUUUUGAGUCGUGUUCUUUGAGAUUGGAACAUCAAUAUGUGUGAUACAUUUCACAUAAAGCUAAAUAUUUGUAAGAAACCGAUAGUAAACAAGUACCGUGAGGGAAAGAUGAAAUAGUACUCAGGAAUGAGCAAUUAAAUAGUACCUGAAAUCGUUAAGAUGGAACGGAUUAAAAAAGGAAAAAAGUAACAACACAUAGUAAAUGAGAGAUUUUGAUGCGCGCAAUAAAGAAUGUAGUCCUGAAAAGGAUGUAGAUAUUCAAGUAUCAAAACAAAAUUUUUCUUUUUUUAAAAAGAAUUCUUUUGAAACUUUUGUUAUAAAAUUCAUUUUUAUUCUUAUCCUUUUUUAGGUAAGAUAAAAAUGAUACAAAAGUUGUCUUUCAUAAUAUAUAUGUUCUUAUUAAAAGAAACAUCAGUGAAUGAAAAUAAAUAAUCGUAAAGCAAAAUGACAGUAACAAGAAAAAAAAAAAAAUUAAAAAAAUUAAUAAAAUAAAAUAAUAUAAAAAUUAAAAUGGAAUAAAAUAAAACAAAAGGUAUAAAAUAAAAGAAUUAAUUGAAUUUCAUUUCAUUUUUUUUUUUUUUUUUUUUUCAUUUUGUUUGAUUCUAUUCUAUUCUAUUUUAAUUUUAUUUUAUUUUAUUUUAUUUUUUAUUUUUUUUUUUUUUUUUUACUUAUUGACUAUUUUUCUAAACUAAUGUGGAAAAAUAUAACUUGCUUUUUCUUUUUUUUUUUUUUCUUUUAUGAAGGGAGAAAAAAAAAAAAAAAAUAUGAAAGAUACAUUUAUUUAAUUUACUGAGGAUUGUCAAAAUUAUAUUAAUUGUACAUGUUGUGAAUAAUAUAAUUUAAGAUGUUUUUAUAAAGUACUUUUUUAACCCACUCGUCUUGAAACACGGACCAAGGAGUCUAACAAAUGUGCAAGUGUAUAUGAUAAGAAUAAACAUAGUAUAAAAAUUUAUACGCAUAAUUAAUGUAACAUAUGUUUAUUAAUUGUAGAUUUGUGGUGUUUUAUUUUUUUAUAAUAUACCCACAAUGCAUACAAUACCGGUAAGCGAUUAUGCUUUAUUGAGUAAGAGCAUACUUGUUAGGACCCGAGAGGCUUUGAACUAAACGUGAUGAGAUUGAAGUCAGAUUAAAAUCUGAUGGAGGAUCGAGUUGAUACUGACGUGCAAAUCGUUCAUUUCAAUUGCGUUUAGGGGCGAAAGACUAAUCGAAAAGCCUAUUAGCUGGUUAUUUUCGAAAGAUCUCUUAGGAUCGCUGGAGUUGAUUAUAAUAUAGUUUUACCUGGUAGAAAUAAUGAUUAGAGGUUUCAGGGAAAUGAUAAUUCCUUGACCUAUAAAUUCAAAGAUUCAAUAGGUAAAAAAAUGGUGAAAUAACUUUAUUGUAUUUCAUUCAUAUUUAAAAUAAGAUAACUUCAAGUUGGCCAAUUUUGGUAAGCAGAACUGGCGAUGAGGGAUGCUCCUAACGCUUGGAUAAGGUGCCUAAAUAUUCGCUCAUUAGAUACCAUUAAAAAGGUGUUGGUUUGUAAUUACAGUAGGACGGUAUUCAUAGAAGUUGAAAUCCGCUAAGAAGUGUGUAACAACUUACCUACCGAAUAAACUCGCCCUGAAAAUGGAUGGCGCUAAAGCGGAUUACCGAUACCAAGCCAUAAAAAAGAAAAAAAAAAUUCAAUAUUUUUUUUUUAGAUUCUUUUUAUGAGUAGAAAAUCGUGGGGUUUGUGUUGAAGCGAAAUACGUGAGUUUUCGUGGAACAUUUCCCUAGUGCAGAUCUUGGUGGAAGUAGCAAAUAUUCUUAUGAAAACUUUGAAGACUGAAGUGGAGAAGGGUUUUUUGUGAACUAUGUUUGAGCAAAAGUUAGCCGUUCCUAAGAGACAGCUUAAAAGCUUUAUAAAAUGAGGUUAUCUAUUAUAUGAAAAGUAUAGUAGUGUUUUUUCUCUUCUCGAAAGGGAAGCAGGUUGAUAUUCCUGCGCCAGAAGUAAUAAGAAUUAAUUAAUAGAGAUGGUAACAUAUAUAUAUAAAUGAACUCCUUAACAUAGGCCUUACGCUUGGAGUGCGUUAUCUUUGCACUUUACCUUUAUAUCAAACCUUGGAAAUCAAUUUACUUGUAGAAAAGGUUCGAUGAAUUUACAAUAAACAAAUUAUUUAUAAUAUGUGUGGACCGGUACACAUGAUAUAUAAAAAUUUUGUUUUGUAGUAAUAGUAAUUCGUUUUUUGUACGAAUUAUCCAAAGUGGUAAGGACUAUCCAUGAAAAAAGGAGGGAACACUAAAUUAAAUGGGAAUGUGAAAUACUAUAAAAAUAUGAAAGGACAAAAAGAAAUAAAAAGGAAAGAAAAAAAAUAUUAACCUUCAGCCUUUUUUUCUAUUUUUUUUUUUUCUUUUUUCUUUCAUAUUUUUAUAGUAUUCUACAUUAACCAUUUUUUUUUUAUAUUCUUAUUUACCAUUAUAAUGAACGUACCAAUAACCGCAUCAGGUCUCCAAGGUUAGUAGCCUCUGGUUAAAUAGAAAAACGUAGGUAAGGGAAGUAAGCAAAUUAGAUCCGUAACUUCGGGAAAAGGAUUGGCUCUGAUAACAUAAAUGCGAAGAAAAAAAUAAAAAGAAUUGUGGUUGAAAAUAAAAAUGUUAAGAUGUUUAUAUAUAUUAGUUUUUCUUUUAUUUUAAGAUUAAUUAUUUAUAUAUAUAUAUAUGUUAAAAUGUUUUAGAUUUCUUCUUCUAUUCUUUUCUUCCUUUUUUUUUUUUUCUCUUCAAUAUUACAUUUUUUUUUCUUAUUAUGAUAAGCAAUUAUUAUAAUAAAAUUAUGUAAUAUUGUAACUGUGUUUUUUCAGAACUGAAACGGACAAGGGGAAUCCGACUGUUUAAUAAAAACAUAGCAUUGUGAAAAGCUAUAACUGGUAUUAACACAAUGUGAUUUCUGCCCAGUGCUUUGAAUGUCAAGUUGAUGAAAAAUUCAAUUAAGCGCAGGUAAACGGCGGGAGUAACUAUGACUCUCUUAAGGUAGCCAAAAUGUAUGGUCAAUAAAAAAGACCAUCAGGAAUGGAUUAACGAGAUUCCUACUGUCCCUACUUGCUAUCUAGCGAAACCACAACCAAGGGAAAGGGCUUGGUAAAAUCAGCGGGGAAAGAAGACCCUGUUGUGCUUUACUCUAGUCUGGCUUUGUAAAAAGAUAUAAGAGGUAUAGCAUAAGUGGUAGUAGAAAUUGAAAUAAUGUUUUUACGUCAGUGAAAUACCACUACUUUUAAAAUUUUUUUACUAAUCCAUUUAUGUAGUGAAUGACUAUUAUAUAUAUAUAUAUAUAUUUAUGUAUAUUCUAAUAUGAUGACAUUUUUUUCUUUAUUUUAUUUUAUUUAAUUUUUUAAUAUAAGUGUUUGUUUCUUUUUUUUUUUAAAAAGAUCUACACAAAAAAAAAAAAAAAAAAAAAUGAAAUAAAAUAAAGAAAAAAGUAUUAUCCUAUUCUAUUGAAUUAAAUAGAUAGAAUCUUUUUCUAUAUAUUUAUUCUAUAUUUUAUGUGUAUCACAUUUAAUGGAAACAGAGUCAGGUGGGGAGUUUGACUAAGGUGGUACAUCUGUAAAAAAUUAACGCAGAUGUCCAAAGAUAAGCUCAAGGAGAACAGAAAUCUCUUGUAGACUAAAAGGGGAAAAGCUUGUUUGAUUUCUAUUUUCAGAAAGAAUAGAAAACGUGAAAGCGUGGCCUAUCGAUCCUUUAUAUUUGCAAAAUGACGUAAAUUACUUACUACUGUGCAUAUAGAGGUAUCUGAAAAGUUACCACAGGGAUAACUUGCUUGUGGCUGCUUAGCGAUAUUAGCAACGUAGCUUUUUGUAUUUUCGAUUACGGCUCUUCCUAUCAUUGGGACGCAGAAGUCUCAAAGUGUCGGAUUGUUCACCCGCUAAUAGGGAACGUGAGCUGGGUUUAGACCGUCGUGAGACAGGUUAGUUUUACCCUACUGAUGAAUAUUAUUAUAUUUUAUUAUAUAUAUAUAUAUUAUUGUGACAGUAAUCCAACUUGGUACGAGAGGAUUAGUUGGUUCAGACAAUUGGUACAGCAAUUGGUUGAUAAGCCAGUGUUGCGAAGCUAAGUCUGUUGGAUAAUGACUGAACGCCUCUUAAGUCAGAACCCAUACUGAUUAAACAAUAAUAUAAUUGUAUAUUUUUGUUAUAAGGUUGUGUUUUAUUUUUUUUUAUUGCUAAUGUAAAAGAGAAAUUUCAUAUA